GCCCCUGUAGCUCAGUGGAUAGAGCAUCCGCCUUCUAAGCGGCAGGCCGAGGGUUCGAGUCCCCCCAGGGGCGCCA
Molecule: transfer RNA, 76 nt
Filed under: Chloroflexota bacterium
Lineage: Bacteria; Bacillati; Chloroflexota
Description: Chloroflexi bacterium (anaerobic digester metagenome) tRNA-Arg
Rfam family: tRNA
About the family: Transfer RNA (tRNA) molecules are approximately 80 nucleotides in length. Their secondary structure includes four short double-helical elements and three loops (D, anti-codon, and T loops). Further hydrogen bonds mediate the characteristic L-shaped molecular structure. tRNAs have two regions of fundamental functional importance: the anti-codon, which is responsible for specific mRNA codon recognition, and the 3' end, to which the tRNAs corresponding amino acid is attached (by aminoacyl-tRNA synthetases). tRNAs cope with the degeneracy of the genetic code in two manners: having more than one tRNA (with a specific anti-codon) for a particular amino acid; and 'wobble' base-pairing, i.e. permitting non-standard base-pairing at the 3rd anti-codon position.
Source: RNAcentral